GACGAACGCUGGCGGCGCGCCUAACACAUGCAAGUCGAACGGAGCUUAGAGAGCUUGCUUUUUAAGCUUAGUGGCGAACGGGUGAGUAACGCGUGAGUAACCUGCCCUAGAGUGGGGGACAACAGUUGGAAACGACUGCUAAUACCGCAUAAGCCCACGGUGCCGCAUGACACUGAGGGAAAAGGAUUUAUUCGCUUUAGGAUGGACUCGCGUCCAAUUAGCUAGUUGGUGAGGUAACGGCCCACCAAGGCGACGAUUGGUAGCCGGACUGAGAGGUUGAACGGCCACAUUGGGACUGAGACACGGCCCAGACUCCUACGGGAGGCAGCAGUGGGGGAUAUUGCACAAUGGGGGAAACCCUGAUGCAGCGACGCCGCGUGGAGGAAGAAGGUUUUCGGAUUGUAAACUCCUGUCGUUAGGGACGAUAAUGACGGUACCUAACAAGAAAGCACCGGCUAACUACGUGCCAGCAGCCGCGGUAAAACGUAGGGUGCAAGCGUUGUCCGGAAUUACUGGGUGUAAAGGGAGCGCAGGCGGGAAGACAAGUUGGAAGUGAAAACCAUGGGCUCAACCCAUGAAUUGCUUUCAAAACUGUUUUUCUUGAGUAGUGCAGAGGUAGAUGGAAUUCCCGGUGUAGCGGUGGAAUGCGUAGAUAUCGGGAGGAACACCAGUGGCGAAGGCGGUCUACUGGGCACCAACUGACGCUGAGGCUCGAAAGCAUGGGUAGCAAACAGGAUUAGAUACCCUGGUAGUCCAUGCCGUAAACGAUGAUUACUAGGUGUUGGGGGAUUGACCCCCUCAGUGCCGCAGUUAACACAAUAAGUAAUCCACCUGGGGAGUACGACCGCAAGGUUGAAACUCAAAGGAAUUGACGGGGGCCCGCACAAGCGGAGGAACAUGUGGUUUAAUUCGAUGAUACGCGAGGAACCUUACCCGGGCUUAAAUUGCAACCGAAUAUGGCGGAAACGCUAUAGCUAGCAAUAGCGGUUGUGAAGGUGCUGCAUGGUUGUCGUCAGCUCGUGCCGUGAGGUGUCGGCUUAAGUGCCAUAACGAGCGCAACCCUUGCCGAUAGUUACUAACAGGUUAUGCUGAGGACUCUGUCGGGACUGCCAUCGUAAGAUGUGAGGAAGGUGGGGAUGACGUCAAAUCAGCACGGCCCUUACGUCCGGGGCUACACACGUGUUACAAUGGGGGGUACAGAGGGCUGCUACCACGCAAGUGGAUGCCAAUCCCAAAAACCUCUCUCAGUUCGGAUUGAAGUCUGCAACCCGACUUCAUGAAGCUGGAUUCGCUAGUAAUCGCGCAUCAGCCACGGCGCGGUGAAUACGUUCCCGGGCCU
RNAcentral lists this ribosomal RNA (1339 nucleotides) under uncultured bacterium. Its description in RNAcentral is "bacterial SSU rRNA". It matches the Rfam family "Bacterial small subunit ribosomal RNA", at positions 28 to 1381 of the family's 1533-position model. The record is from RNAcentral.